AAGCUUGACUUCUUUGCUGACGAGUGGCGGACGGGUGAGUAAUGUCUGGGAAACUGCCUGAUGGAGGGGGAUAACUACUGGAAACGGUAGCUAAUACCGCAUAACGUCGCAAGACCAAAGAGGGGGACCUUCGGGCCUCUUGCCAUCGGAUGUGCCCAGAUGGGAUUAGCUAGUAGGUGGGGUAACGGCUCACCUAGGCGACGAUCCCUAGCUGGUCUGAGAGGAUGACCAGCCACACUGGAACUGAGACACGGUCCAGACUCCUACGGGAGGCAGCAGUGGGGAAUAUUGCACAAUGGGCGCAAGCCUGAUGCAGCCAUGCCGCGUGUAUGAAGAAGGCCUUCGGGUUGUAAAGUACUUUCAGCGGGGAGGAAGGGAGUAAAGUUAAUACCUUUGCUCAUUGACGUUACCCGCAGAAGAAGCACCGGCUAACUCCGUGCCAGCAGCCGCGGUAAUACGGAGGGUGCAAGCGUUAAUCGGAAUUACUGGGCGUAAAGCGCACGCAGGCGGUUUGUUAAGUCAGAUGUGAAAUCCCCGGGCUCAACCUGGGAACUGCAUCUGAUACUGGCAAGCUUGAGUCUCGUAGAGGGGGGUAGAAUUCCAGGUG
RNAcentral lists this ribosomal RNA (607 nucleotides) under Escherichia sp. B-4. Its description in RNAcentral is "bacterial SSU rRNA". It matches the Rfam family "Bacterial small subunit ribosomal RNA", at positions 71 to 675 of the family's 1533-position model. Lineage: Bacteria; Pseudomonadati; Pseudomonadota; Gammaproteobacteria; Enterobacterales; Enterobacteriaceae. The record is from RNAcentral.